This 1702-nucleotide long non-coding RNA is filed under the name Panax ginseng (ginseng). Its description in RNAcentral is "long non-coding RNA (PGIN_LNC008004)". The record is from RNAcentral. Lineage: Eukaryota; Viridiplantae; Streptophyta; Magnoliopsida; Apiales; Araliaceae.
UAUAGAGAGAGAAAGUAUAGAGAGAAUAAGAGAGAAAAAAGAAGAGUAUUCUGUUACUACACUAUUGCAGUAUCCAAUCUCCUACUAAGGUAAGUGGUAUUAUUUCUUUCGUAUUCAUGAAGAGAGUUAUUUUCUUUCAAUACUCGUAAGGGUUGUUAUUCCAUUCUUUAUUAUUCUGUUGGAAUAACCUGUCUGUGCGGUCUAUCGCAUGCCUGGUGAAUUCUGUUGUUAUUCCAUUCUUUAUUAUUCUAUUAGAAUAUCCUGUCUGUGCGGAUUACGCAUGACCUGGUUCCAUUCUUUAUUAUUCUGUUGGAAUAUCCUGUUUGUGCGGGUUACGCAUAACCUGGUCCCAUUCUUUAUUAUUCUGUUGGAAUAACCUGUCUGUGCGGAUUACGCACGCCUGAUGAAUUCUUCUGUUAUUCCAUUCUUUAUUAUUCUGUUGGAAAUAAUCUGUCUACGUGGAUUACCGCAUGGCGGGCGAAAAUCUAUUUGCGGCUUCAUAUAUUCUAUUAUACUCAGUUGGUUAAAGUUUUAGCUUUUAUACUCCAUGAAACUAGUGGAAUAUCCUUGAUAUUUGCGCUUCAUCUGGUAUCUUUUCAUGGAAAUAUUCUUCACAAAAUAGUAUCAUGUUGACAAUUUGGACGUUAUUGAUUUCUGGAUAAAUUAAAUUAUAAAUCUUUAAAAAUCUAUCAUUGAACUUGUUUUAUUGAAUUCUUAUAUCAUUGUCAUCAUCAUCCUCAUGUUUAUAUUAUGUUGAAAGUCAUCUGUGGCCUGUAGUGCAUAGAUGGACUUGGUAUGAUUAUGACCAGGGAUUAUUCGGUAUAAUCAUGACCGUAAUGUUACAAAUAUUGCGAUAAAAGUCAUUAUUGGCCCGUAGUGCAUUGAUGGACAGUUGUUGGUAUGAUCAUGACCAUUGAUAAAAACACGAAUAUCCUUGGCCCGUAGUGCAUGGAUAAUUUGUGGUCAUGAUACUAAUGAAUAUCCUUGGCCGUAGUGCAGGGAUGAUAUGGAUUAUUUAUUAAGCUGAGUCUCAGCGAUAAAAGUGAUGAAAAAUAUUUUAAAUCAUAGAAGAUAGUAGAUUUUAUUCUCUACUUGACUCUUCUAAUGGAUUGCUUGUUCCGCUGCAGUUAAACUUGAUGUUUGUUAUAUUUUAUCAGUUUAACAUUGUUGAAGGCUAACGAUAAAUUAUUCUGCAUUAUCUUAAUCAUAAUAUUUCUUACUGGGCUAGUUGAGCUCACCCUUUUACUUUCAUUGUUCUCUUCAGGAAAUGAGAACGUAGCAGGGACUAGUCGGAGGAAACAAAGUGAUGGUCCUAGAUGGUGCAUUAGUAGUCCUCACUAUUCUGUGAAAUAGUGUGGUAAUAAAUGUAAUAAGGACCCCAUAGAGUUUGUAUAUUAUCUACACUACUACAAAACAGUAAAUAGACAACGCGAAAAAAACGUUAUGAUUUCAGUCAGAAAAACGUCGUGGUUAAGGGUGUUAUCUAUUUGACACCCUUACACAACGUUUUUAAAACGUUGUAGUUAAGCACGUUACACAACGUUUUUAAGUAAAAAAUAUUGUAAAUUUGUUAUCCAAAAAUUAACAGAUGCUUAAAAGCGUUGUAGAAAGUAUAAUUCCACAACGUUUUCUGAAUAAAAAUGUUACAGUUUAAUAUAUCAAACAACGUUUAAGCAUAUUUACACAACGUUUUUAAAAUGUU